CGCGUAGGUGGUCGUGUAAGCGGGGGAUGAAAGCCCAUGGCUCACCCAUGGAACUGUCCCCCCGGACUGCACGGCUCGAGGAAGGAAGGGGAGAAUGGAAUUCCCGGUGUAGCGGUGAAAUGCGUAGAUAUCGGGAGGAACGCCGGUGGCGAAAGCGAUUCUCUGGUCCUUCCCUGACACUGAGGCGCGAAAGCUAGGGGAGAAAC
This 206-nucleotide ribosomal RNA is filed under the name uncultured bacterium. RNAcentral's name for it is "partial 16S ribosomal RNA". It matches the Rfam family "Bacterial small subunit ribosomal RNA", at positions 568 to 772 of the family's 1533-position model. The record is from RNAcentral.